AUAAUUAGAGAUUGUGUACUCCCUGGAGUAGUGACUAUCUCAGUAAACAAGACAAAGGAUGAGAAAAAGGAAGUGGUAUUGUUCUCAUUGUACAAACAGUGCACUGAGAAACUGGCAAAUUAAAUGAUUCGCCCAAGUUCAUGCAAGAAGUCUUUGGCAGAAUUUGGUAAACAAGGCUUCUUGUUUUGUUUGCCUUCUAGGAAAAUGACUACAAUGUAGAUAUUUAGUGGAUUGAUCCCUUUCUGCAAAAGAAAGAAAAUGUUGUUUUAAAUGUCAAAAUAAUUACAGAUUUUUUUUCCCCAGUUUAUUUCCAUUCAUCUUUCUAUUUAAAAAGAGGCUACUAGGAGAGGAAAGAGUUGAGACCUAGUGAGGAAAAACAGUACGCUAAAAUUCUGAUUAAAAACGACACAAUCUCCUCACAGUUGCCAGGUUCAUUAAAAAAAAAAUCUGAAAAUUUGUCAAUAUGGAAAAAAGGACCCCAUUUUAUGAGAGACACGGUUCAUUUACUCUCUUAUUUUUCCCUCUUCUACCACACACAUUCAAGCUCCCAAACCAAGGCUGAGAUGAAGCCAGCAGAGAUAUUUGGCCCCACACCCAUGAGGCUGCUGGGGAAGUCAGCCCAGCACACCCUGCUCAUUUCCAUGACCGACUGUUCCUUCUCGUUUGGGCUGAGCUCUAGUGCUCCCCUGCCCAAACUGAUCAGGUGGGACAAGCGCUGGGGUCAGGAUGAAGCUGUAGCUCACAGAGUGUUUGGAGAUGGGAGAGGUGUGCUGUACAGUACGUGUAGGUUUAGGGAACCAAGGGCCUCCACAGCUGGAACUUGCAGCACUGGGGGAAUUCCAGGAGGGCUGUUGCAAAAGGCUUGUGACAAUUGUUGACCCUGAGCUCUUCUCCAUUAUGGGUGUGUAAGCCCAUAAUUCUUUAUCCUCCCUACCUCAGGUGGACCUCAAAAUAGACUUCUUGCAGCAAUUUCCUGCCACGUCUGCACCAGCCAAAACCUGCCCUUUGGUUGCAGAGCUCUCAGGAGCUUAUUUCACUCCUCCAGUUCUUCAUGUGGUGUCAAGACUGCAGAAUACCGAUAAGGAUCCUAUUCCUGAUGCUUUUCAACAUGAAUACAUGAAACAGAGGUGCUGGAUGCACAACAGAAAAGUCUCUUCUUCCAUCCCUGAUCCAUCCUGCUUCUCCUUUAGUACAUUGGAGAGGUAGCUCCUCCACUAUGGUAACUCAGGAAAACUUGGCUGACAACAGCAAAGCCGCCACAAGAGACAGGGGCAUGAGGAACAGCCUGGGAGGUACCACAUGGAGUAUGCGCUGCCUGUGCACAUAAAACGCGCCUUAAAAGAAGGCGAAGAGACCAGCGGGGCCCCACCGGCGGCUUCGCAUGGCUCCUGCAGCCCCCCCACCUUCUGGACAGGCGCCUGCUGGUGACUCAUGGUCGGCAGGGAGGCCAUUGCAGGUGAGAUGGGGCGGCACUGCCUGUGCUGGAGGGGACGGGGCAGGCGGAGCCGGUGCCCGCGGCCCGCCCUGGCCCGGCGAGCGGCGCCCGUUGCGGGCAGGCGGCCGUUGGGGGCGACGGUUGGGCGCGACCGUUGCGGUUCCCGGCGCGAGCCAGAGGGGGCGCGCGGCCGCGGGCGCUGAGGCGGCGGUGCCGGGAGGGGCGGGCGGCGGCCGCGCCCUCUGACCGUCCCCAUCAUCCCCAGACCGUCCCCAUCGUCCCCGGACCUUCCCCGCAAGCGUCCGGCCGGAGGCUCCGGGUCCCUCCAGGGACGGUUCCCUACUCCGGCCCGGCGUGGCAGGGCUGUCCCGCUAACGGGAUACUGGCUUUGGAGGCUCCCACCCCGCACAGCCAGAACUUCGAUGGCCUCUUGAGAUGCGUGGGAGAUUGAUUUUUCCUAAUUUUUUAAGUACCAAGUAUAUCUAGUGUACUUAUUUCUCCUAAUUAAUGUGAAAAUAAAGAAUCAAAGAGGGUAUUCC
Molecule: long non-coding RNA, 1974 nt
Organism: Columba livia (rock pigeon)
Lineage: Eukaryota; Metazoa; Chordata; Aves; Columbiformes; Columbidae
Exons: 2
Source: RefSeq, a predicted model, not a curated record